UAUAAAUUAGCAAAUAAUUCCUUCUAUGUACAAAACGACAUAAACUAAAAAACUGAACGAAACUAACAUCUCUACUACGGUAGUUUAAGAAAUUACUGCUGGGCGACGUUAAAGUCACUCUUGUCGAUGGACGAAUAAGGUAUCAGCUAACCUCUGUGUGAUCCGAGAUCAGAAUACGAAUGGGCAAUUUCCUGGGAAUGUUUUAUAGGAGGUCAGUCCCAGAUAUGUCUGACCCAUCCCUCACUACCUGGCCCCUACUGUAUUAACUACACUACUUGUACUCAGACGGAUCUAAGUUAGCUACGAAGCUACUAGGUAGUUGAGGAGGAAUCU
Molecule: long non-coding RNA, 333 nt
Organism: Centruroides sculpturatus (bark scorpion)
Lineage: Eukaryota; Metazoa; Arthropoda; Arachnida; Scorpiones; Buthidae
Exons: 3
Source: RefSeq, a predicted model, not a curated record